UUUGUUUUUUUUUAAUCUUUGAAAUUGAAGUUAAUUUCCUGUAUCCUUACUAGUUUCGUUUUCAGAGAUCUAUCACUGUUAAUUAAAUACAAUUGGAUCGGUUUUGUAGUAUUCAUUUAAUAUAGAAUGUGCACACCUUUGCUUAAAAGAAAAACUGUUAAAUAAUUUCCUUAGACAUUUUAUAGCCUACCCACAUAAUAAAAGAAAUCUCAAGAAAGACACUAGAAGAGAUGUCAGAAGAUUCAGAAGAGGAAGACUAUUCAGAUAGAAGUAUCAGUGAUGACGAUGAGUUGGAUGAGGAUUCAUUCAUGAAAUUUGUAAGUGAUGAUAUUCAUCAGUGUACACUACUAACAGCUGAUUCUAUUGGUGACCCAUUCUUUCCUCGGACUACACAGAUUUUAUUGGAGUAUCAGCUAGGAAGAUGGGUACCACGCCUUCGAGAACCACGAGAUUUAUAUGGCGUCUCUUCUUCUGGUCCGCUGAGCCCAACACGGUGGCCAUACCACUGUGAGGUCAUUGAUGAAAAAGUCCAGCAUAUUGAGUGGACUCCUUUUGUUCCUGAGCCGGUCUAUGUCCCAACAGGCCUGGAAAUAGAACCUGUUUACCCAAACUCCAAGGAAGACACCGUGGUUUACCUAGCUGAAGAUGGUGGGCAUAUUCUCUAAAACAUUCCUGUAAAAUAUGGUUGGCAUCUUGAUGUCAAAACAUGAGAGUUAUGGGACCCUUAUGAAUAUUUCAUCAUCAGA
This 746-nucleotide long non-coding RNA is filed under the name Rattus norvegicus (Norway rat). RNAcentral describes it as "long non-coding RNA NONRATT020352". The record is from RNAcentral. Lineage: Eukaryota; Metazoa; Chordata; Mammalia; Rodentia; Muridae.